This 439-nucleotide ribosomal RNA is filed under the name uncultured bacterium. RNAcentral's name for it is "partial 16S ribosomal RNA". It matches the Rfam family "Bacterial small subunit ribosomal RNA", at positions 338 to 795 of the family's 1533-position model. The record is from RNAcentral.
CCUACGGGCGGCAGCAGUGGGGAAUAUUGCACAAUGGGCGAAAGCCUGAUGCAGCAACGCCGCGUGAGCGAUGAAGGCCUUCGGUUCGUAAAGCUCUGUCCUCCAGGAAGCUAAUGCCGGUACUUGAGGAGGAAGCCCCGGCUAACUACGUGCCAGCAGCCGCGGUAAGACGUAGGGGGCUAGCGUUAUCCGGAGUUACUGGGCGUAAAGGGGGUGUAGGUGGUUUCUUAAGUCAGAGGUGAAAGGCUACGGCUCAACCGGAGUAAGCCUUUGAAACUGGGAAACUUGAGUGGCGGAGAGGAGAGUGGAAUUCCUAGUGUAGCGGUGAAAUGCGUAGAUAUUAGGAGGAACACCAGUUGCGAAGGCGGCUCUCUGGACUGUAACUGACACUGAGGCACGAAAGCGUGGGGAGCGAACAGGAUUAGAUACCCCAGUAGUC